This 484-nucleotide ribosomal RNA is filed under the name uncultured bacterium. RNAcentral describes it as "partial 16S ribosomal RNA". It matches the Rfam family "Bacterial small subunit ribosomal RNA", at positions 28 to 507 of the family's 1533-position model. The record is from RNAcentral.
AUUGAACGCUGGCGGCAUGCUUUACACAUGCAAGUCGAACGGCAGCGCGGGCUUCGGCCUGGCGGCGAGUGGCGAACGGGUGAGUAAUGCAUCGGAACGUGCCCAGUAGUGGGGGAUAGCCCGGCGAAAGCCGGAUUAAUACCGCAUACGACCUGAGGGUGAAAGCGGGGGACCGAAAGGCCUCGCGCUAUUGGAGCGGCCGAUGUCGGAUUAGCUAGUUGGUGGGGUAAAGGCUUACCAAGGCGACGAUCCGUAGCUGGUCUGAGAGGACGACCAGCCACACUGGGACUGAGACACGGCCCAGACUCCUACGGGAGGCAGCAGGGGGGAAUUUUGGACAAUGGGGGCAACCCUGAUCCAGCCAUGCCGCGUGCGGGAAGAAGGCCUUCGGGUUGUAAACCGCUUUUGUUCGGGAAGAAAUCCUCUGGGCUAAUACCCCGGGGGGAUGACGGUACCGGAAGAAUAAGCACCGGCUAACUACGUG